GUGGCAGCGGAGUUGUCGUCGUUACAAUAAACCCACGGGAGGAUUAGUAAUCAGCGUAGCGUCGAGGAGAAACCGGUGGGGAACUUUGCUACCGGGCAUUUCACUUACUCCGAGGUGGUUUUACUGUAGUGGUUCUAUGAAACGGCAGAGAAACGCUUCUAAUCAUACCCACAUAUUUAUUCACCUAAGUGUCCGCUCCAAACCUCCCAGAGACGUUUGUCUUGUUUCAGAUCUGGAUACCAUGAAAGCUAAUUAACGUUCUUAUGCAAUACCUUUGUCAGUAACUGCUGGCUGUGGAGGAACAGUGAACGAACAAGGAUAUUCGCCAUCCGUCCGAACCCAGAGCAGCGCCAACGCGGAUCCACACCGCCUUCAACACCAUAAGGCCGGUGCUUCUGAGAAGCUGGAGGAGGCAGGAGCGGACAAACAGCUGACUGCAUGGACGACCGACGACCUCACCAACUGAUAACAGGUUGCUCUCACCGUUCCUCUUCACCUUCUACACCUCGACUUCACAUACAACACCAACAGCUGUCACAUCCAGAGGUUCUCAGACGACUCAUCCGUCGUUGGCUGUGUGUCUGAGGGGACCGAGCUGGAACACAGGUCAGUCUCAAGGACUCUGUGGACUGGUGUGAGUGCAACCACCAGUUAAACACCAGUAAAACCAAGGAGAUGGUGACUGACCUCUGGAUGAGAACAACACAUCACAUCGGUAAAAAUCCAGGGUUUAGACAUAGAGACUGUGGACAGUUCCUGGGGUGUUCACCUCAACCAUAAACUGGACUGGACUAAUAACACUGAUGUCCUGUACAAAAAGGGCCAAAGUGGCCUCCACCUGCUGAGGAGACUGAGGACCUGGAGUGUCCAGGUCCACAUUAAGGACCCUCUAUGACUCUGUGGGGGCCUCGGUCAUCCACUAUGUGGAGCAGGCAGGAAAAGACUGAAGAAGCUGGCGACGAAGGCCAGCUCUGUCCUGGAAUGUCCACUGGCCUCUGUGGUGGAGGACGUUGGCCAAGCUCACAUCCAUCAUGGACCGUUCCUCUCACCCACUGCACCAGACUGUGGGAGCUCUGAGCUCCUUCAGUGGAGACUGAUCCACUCAGUGUAGGAAGGAGCGCUACCUCUACAUUAUACAAUGUACAGUCGUGGCCAAACGUUUUGAGAAUUACAUAAAUAUUGCAAAUUAGAAAAGUUGCUGCUUAAGUUUUUAUAACAGCAAUUUGCAUAUAAUCCAGAAUGUUAUAUUUCAGUACAUCACAGAAACAACUUUGUGAAAACUAAUAUUUGUGUCAUUAUCAAAAUGUUUGGCCACGACUGUAGAGGUCUGACAGGCUCAAAUCUGCACUCAGUUGUUUGGUCGCUUUAUCCUGGACAAGUGCUGUACUGUAUGUGUGAGGUUGUGGAUCUGUUGGACAUGACUCUGUUCCAUGCUAAUUCUGGCCCAUGCUCCCUCAAAUUCUGCCCAAGUAUGGUACUACAUGCCCGAGCUGUAAAUAUGUACAUAUGUUUAUUAUCAAUAUUAUUAUUAGUGUUAUUACUAUUGUUUCUAUGCUCUUAUGUCUCUUUUUAUCUUGCAAGCUCCUGCACAAUUCCUUGGUUUCUGGCUGUUCCAGCAACUGAAUUUCCCCACUGUGGAAUCAAUAAAGUUCAUCCAUCCAUCCA
Long non-coding RNA from Betta splendens (Siamese fighting fish), 1665 nucleotides. RefSeq lists it as uncharacterized. The record is from RefSeq and is a predicted model, not a curated record. The transcript has 2 exons. Lineage: Eukaryota; Metazoa; Chordata; Actinopteri; Anabantiformes; Osphronemidae.